Long non-coding RNA from Ochotona curzoniae (black-lipped pika), 1069 nucleotides. RefSeq lists it as uncharacterized. Lineage: Eukaryota; Metazoa; Chordata; Mammalia; Lagomorpha; Ochotonidae. The transcript is spliced from 2 exons. The record is from RefSeq and is a predicted model, not a curated record.
CCGGCGCAGGGCGUGGGGCUCGGCCGCGGGCGGUGAGUCCCGGCCGGCUGAUCGCGAACCGGGAUCGCUUCGCCUACCGAACCUUCUGGUUUUCGAUUUGAAGGCUUAAAUAAUGGGAGAAAAAUCCCCUCUUUGCCAGGUAAAGGUCUUGACGUGGAUGGCUUUUGUUGUGCUUUCCGAUGCCCUGAAUUAGGCCUUGUGUUGUUUGCAUUUCCAUGAGACAGUCACCCUGGUUUGCUACUUGGAUGUCUUUUUUUUUCCUAGUUUACUUUGAGACCUAGAGUGGGAAGUGGGGGUGAGUGGGGAGAAGGUGGGGGCAUCUCCCAUCCACUGCUACAUUCCCAAAGUCAGUAACUGAGAACUCAACUUUAGUCUCCCCCAUACGUGGUUGGAACCCAGUUAUUUAAGCUAUCAUCUGCAGCCACCCAGGGUACACAUUGACAGGGAACUGGAAUUUGGGAGCAUAGCUGGGACUUGAGCCAGGCUCCCUGGUGUGGGAUGAAGAGGUUCCAGUGGUCUCAAGCAUGAGGCCAAGCGCCUGUACCCUAAGUGCCUUUGCUCUUGUGUCUCACAGAUUGGUCCUUGUCUUUCUUCAAUGUGCCUUGUCCCCCUGGGACGAUUAUUGGGUUUGAUAGCAUCAGAAAUGCCUUUUCUUGUUUUGUUUCCUACACAGCAGCAACCCAAAUAGGAAGAUGGACUCUGAGCUCUGCGUUGUGACCCAGGAAAGGGCACUGUUCCCUAAAGGUCAAGGUUGAUUAUGUCACUGUGGUCAACACAGGAAGAAAGAACGCUGGACGUCAUUAGGUAGAGAUCUGAAAUAUGAAAUACUUUCCUGUAUAGAGUUACAUUUUUCUGUUACCAUUAAGUGAACUGAGGUUACCUGGAAGGUUAUCCUGUCUCAGCAUCCUAACCUCUGGGGGCUCAAUGUCACUGUGCUCCUGCCUUCUGUUGCCUGCUGUCCUCCUGGCUCUCAUACCUUGUUCUCCCUGUACCUUUGAAGGUUCCCUCAGUCUUUACAUGAGACAUACUUUUCUACAUAUGCAGUGCUUAUCCAUACGACUUUCAACCA